This 254-nucleotide ribosomal RNA is filed under the name uncultured prokaryote. Its description in RNAcentral is "partial 16S ribosomal RNA". It matches the Rfam family "Bacterial small subunit ribosomal RNA", at positions 524 to 777 of the family's 1533-position model. The record is from RNAcentral.
UACGGAGGAUGCAAGCGUUAUCCGGAUUUAUUGGGUUUAAAGGGUGCGCAGGUUGUUUGAUAAGUCAGUGGUGAAAGUCUGUCGCUUAACGGUAGGAUUGCCAUUGAUACUGUUAGACUUGAAUAUGGAUGAGGUAGGCGGAAUGUGUAGUGUAGCGGUGAAAUGCUUAGAUAUUACACAGAACACCGAUUGCGAAGGCAGCUUACUAAUCCAUGAUUGACGCUGAGGCACGAAAGCGUGGGGAUCAAACAGGA